UGGGGAAUAUUGCACAAUGGGCGAAAGCCUGAUGCAGCAACGCCGCGUGAGUGAUGAAGGCCUUCGGGUUGUAAAGCUCUGUCUUUUGGGACGAUAAUGACGGUACCAAAGGAGGAAGCCACGGCUAACUACGUGCCAGCAGCCGCGGUAAUACGUAGGUGGCAAGCGUUGUCCGGAUUUACUGGGCGUAAAGGAUGCGUAGGCGGAUUUUUAAGUGAGAUGUGAAAUACCCGGGCUUAACUUGGGUGCUGCAUUUCAAACUGGGAAUCUAGAGUGCGGGAGAGGAGAAUGGAAUUCCUAGUGUAGCGGUGAAAUGCGUAGAGAUUAGGAAGAACACCAGUGGCGAAGGCGAUUCUCUGGACCGUAACUGACGCUGAGGCAUGAAAGCGUGGGUAGCAAACAGGAUUAGAUACCCUGGUAGUCCACGCCGUAAACGAUGAGUACUAGGUGUAGGAGGUAUCGACCCCUUCUGUGCCGCAGUUAACACAAUCAAGUACUCCGCCUGGGAAGUACGAUCGCAAGAUUAAAACUCAAAUGAA
Molecule: ribosomal RNA, 539 nt
Filed under: uncultured bacterium
Lineage: Bacteria
Description: partial 16S ribosomal RNA
Rfam family: Bacterial small subunit ribosomal RNA
Source: RNAcentral